This 732-nucleotide ribosomal RNA is filed under the name Candidatus Moranbacteria bacterium GW2011_GWE2_35_164. RNAcentral describes it as "bacterial LSU rRNA". It matches the Rfam family "Bacterial large subunit ribosomal RNA", at positions 1 to 897 of the family's 2925-position model. The record is from RNAcentral. Lineage: Bacteria; Candidatus Moraniibacteriota.
AGCAUAUGGAGAAUGCCUUGACUCGUAUGAGCGAUGAAGGACGUAGCAGGCUGCGAUAAGCCUCGGGGAGCUGCCAAGCAAGCUUUGCUAUUUGAAUACAUAGAAUAGUAAGGUAAACCUAGUGAACUGAAACAUCUUAGUAGCUAGAGGAAUAGAAAUCAAUAGAGAUUCCGUCAGUAGUGGCGAGCGAAAGCGGAACAGUCUAAACCUGUUGUCUUAUAUUUUUUAGUAAAACACUUUGGGAAGAGUGGCCAUAGAAGGUAACAGCCCUGUAUACGAAAAAAGAUAUAAAACAAUGAGACUAUCCUCAAGUAGGACGGGACCGGAGAAAUCCUGUCUGAAUCUGGGAGCACUAACUUCCAAGACUAAAUAUUAUACGAGAUCGAUAGUGAACAAGUACCGUGAGGGAAAGGUGAAAAGCAUCCCGAUGAGGGAGAUGAAAUAGAACGGGCCAACGAGUUAAUUUUAUACGGCUUGCAUAAAUCACUCUGUGAGAUAUGCGUAGUGAAAGCGAGGCUUAACCGCCGACCAUUGUCGUAUGAAUUAGACCCGAAGCCAGGCGAGCUACGCAUGAGCAGGGUGAACCCCAAGUAACAUUGGGGGGAGGCCCGAACCCACUAAUCGUUUAACGUUAGGGGAUGACUUGUGCGUAGGGGAGAAAUUCCAAUCGAGCUUGGCGAUAGCUGGUUCUCUCCGAAAUAGCUUUAGGGCUAGCGUUCGGGAAAUGAGCAA